GGAAUAUGAUGAAUGUAUUGAGAAAGCUAAGGCUUCUGCUGCUAACUCCUCAAAAAAGGCUGUCAAAUAUGCUCGAAGAGAGGAUGCCAUUAUUCAUGCUCUAGAGAUUGAAAGUGCUCGUCUCGGGAAAGACCAUCCGGAUUUUUUCUCAAGAAAAGAGAAAGAAGGCGGAGAGCAUAAUACCAUGGAAGAAUCACAUACUUCUUCUAAUCCUCUUGAAGAUGGUAAAGAGUUAGUUGAGGAACUGAAUAGUUCCGAAAAUAAUUCCAAUUCGGCUCAAGAACUGUCUCAAUCAGGUGUAUCAUUUGAGGCGCCAAAUCUUACAAUUGCAUCUGAGGAUCAACCUGUGUGUGGGACAAGGAGGAGAACACCAAACGACUCAGAGGAUGAUGGAACUGAGGGAAGUAAACGCAUGAAAGGACUUGAUGACCUGGGGACGGGUGUCAUGUCAUCUCUGAAAAGGAAGCGAUCUCAGGUGGCACAUGUUCAUGAUUUCUUAA
This 500-nucleotide unclassified non-coding RNA is filed under the name Hevea brasiliensis (rubber tree). The record is from RNAcentral. Lineage: Eukaryota; Viridiplantae; Streptophyta; Magnoliopsida; Malpighiales; Euphorbiaceae.